GAUGAACGCUGGCGGCGUGCCUAAUACAUGCAAGUCGAGCGAACAGACGAGGAGCUUGCUCCUCUGACGUUAGCGGCGGACGGGUGAGUAACACGUGGAUAACCUACCUAUCAUACUGGGAUAACUUCGGGAAACCGGAGCUAAUACCGGAUAAUAUAUUGAACCGCAUGGUUCAAUAGUGAAAGACGGUUUUGCUGUCACUUAUAGAUGGUUCCGCGCCGCAUUAGCUAGUUGGUAAGGUAAAGGCUUACCAAGGCAACGAUGCGUAGCCAACCUGAGAGGGUGAUCGGCCACACUGGAACUGAGACACGGACCAGACGCCUGAGGGACGCAGCAGUAGGGAAUCUUCCGCAAUGGGCGAAAGCCUGACGGAGCAACGCCGCGUGAGUGAUGAAGGUCUUCGGAUCGUAAAACUCUGUUAUUAGGGAAGAACAAAUGUGUAAGUAACUAUGCACGUCUUGACGGUACCGAAUCAGAAAGCAACGGCUAACUACGUG
Molecule: ribosomal RNA, 497 nt
Filed under: uncultured bacterium
Lineage: Bacteria
Description: partial 16S ribosomal RNA
Rfam family: Bacterial small subunit ribosomal RNA
Source: RNAcentral